CCGUGUGCUGCGGGCCGCCGUGCUUGUGCUCGUGGCGAAGCGGCGGCUUGGGCUGGGCUCGGCCGUCGGGCGGCGGCAGGGAGUGCAGUCGGAAAGGAAGAGACGGAACUGCAGCGCACAUGCCAGCUGGGAAUCGGUGACUCAGGAUAUUCAGUCAUAAAUGGUGUCCGUCCCUUUCCAGCUGAACGCAGGGAGCAGCAGUGAGGUUUGAGCUUGACGUAAGAGCAGGAUUCUACUCGAACCCGAGGAUUCCCACACUGGAUUUUACAACCUGCCUUCGCAUAUGAGAUGUUGAAGCUUUCAAUGAGGUCACGCCAGACACUGACAAGCACUGAUGGGUGAGUCAUGCUGCAGUAGCCAGAGAUACUAGCAACAGAUUUGUUAAUCUGUAUGCAGUCUAACCCUUUUUCUGGUCUAGGAUCUUAUUCAAGGGUGACAUACAAUGUCUCGGAGAUAGGUGACUGCAGAAUUGCUCAAGAGCAAGGCCACAUUUUCACAACUAUUUUACAGAUUAUAAUAAGAAUCAGUUCCUGGGAGCGUGUUUACAAUAAUGUAAAAUGUUGGUUUGGCUAUAAAAUCUAUAAAACAGGAGAUCAAGAUCCAGAUGGGGCCAACAAUGUUCAUUGCAGAUCACUGGAAAAGCCACCAUGCUAAUAUGGAAUCUAAGUUCCACCUGCUCUUGCUCCAGGAGUUCCAAUCAUCAUCUCCAGCAAACUGCUCUUCCAGUACCAGGGAGAGCAGGUGUAAAUACACAUCCAUACACCAGCCAGUCUAGGACAAAGGCCAGUGCAGUCACAGCACUGUUAGGCUGUGCUGUCUGAGCUAAGACAUCCAGCCCUAACCCAGCAGGGUCAGGCAGAGAGCAAACUCUCUUCUGCUGGCUCUGCUGUGGGGGGAAACCUGUGGAGAAGGAUUAGACCAGACCAUUUCCUGAUCUGCCACAAGAAAAUUCUCCAUGGAAGCUUUGGAAGUGUGGCAAGGACAGAGAAAACCAUGGAACAAGUGAGAUAUGGGGACUGAGUGCAUGACAGCAGAAAAAAGUUUCAUAAUCUUGGCUGAACUACUGAACAGUCAGAGAAAGAACCAACAAUAAAGGGAAGAGGCAAAGUAAAUCUAAAAGAAAUUCUGCAGACAGACAACAAAGAAAUGAGGUGCUGUUGUAUUUUCAUUGCUGCAAAGCUAAAUUAAGCUUCCUAAGUCAAGCAGAGAAAUAAGUGUUUUAGACUUCUAUUCAGAAAACAGCAUGAGCAGCAAUUGCCAGUGGACAACUAACAAAAGGUGUCUUCUCUCAGAGAAAGAAAGCCACCAGCACAUUGCAUAAUUGUAAUGAGUUUCCUCCCAGUUUCACAUUAUUAGUCACCUUUCACCCUUCUCUGCCAAAGGCCUCUUCUUACCCAUCCAUCCAAGGACCAGAGCCAAGGCACAAGCCUUUCCUGUGCUACUUCUUUCCAUCAGCCAUUCUUCAAGGUCAAGGCCUCCACAAUACUGAUCACUGUGCCCAUUCCAGGCAUUCUGAACCAAUGCCAGAGUAAAACCCCCUUCGGCCCUGCUGUCGGGAAAAGAUUCGAGACACCUGAAUAGACCUUCCUUAUACUCAUUUGUCAUGGCCUGGAAAAGCAGUUAGUCCUGAAAUUGUGCAAAUAUUUAAAAGCAAAACCAUUGCAAAGAUUCAUCGAAGAGCCUUCACCAGCAGAAGACAUCCUACCUAGAGUCCCUUGGAAACCUGUUUGACUCAAGUGGAAAUGACCUACUGGCAUUUAUUUGUAAUUGCCCAGCAUGGCAGUGGCUGAGGAAGGAAAAGCUAUUGAGUCACACUGCAAGCCACUUUUCCACUUCUGUCUGGUUGCCCAGAGGGUAGAGUGGGACAGUCAGAAGGCUGAGAUUUUGUUUAUGUCUCUGAAACUGAUUAUCCAUGUGACCUUGCACGUACUUCUUGUGCCACCAUUUUCCCACUUCUUAAUACCUAAAACCACUCGACUCAUGGGUCAGUCAGAAGUGCCCAGCAAGGAGCAUGUUUGUUCCUCUAAUAAAAGGUAAGAGAAGAGCGAAGUGGUAUUAUUGUUGUCAUACAAUACAAAAGCAGUUACGUAAUAACAUCAGCAUUGCUUCAUUUUUGUCAUUACAACACAAACUGUCAGAGGGACACUGCCUGACAUGAUAUCUUCAUCCCAGUGGAUGUACCCAAGUGUUUACUUCAUUGAUACAAAACCAGAUUACAACAAUCUGGAAGACUCUACCUCGUUUAUUUUGACCAUCUAGAACAUGUUUUUCCUGUAUAACCUCAUAACCCAUAAUAAUGGCCCAAACUGCACUACAGGAAUGAUGGCAGGUUUCAUGAGCUAGUAAAAGGAGAACAAUUCCUCACUUGUGCAUUGCACAACUGCUCACACACUAAAGCACACAAGUGCUUCUCUUCUUUGUGAGCAGACAACAACCUGAAAGUUAGUUUCUAAACCUGCACAUCAUACACACACAGAAUACUUUUUUAAAAAAUCUCAGUGCCAAGAAAGAAUUAAAGAACUCCCUAAUUUGCCUAAAUUACAUUCUACUUGUCUGAUGACAAAUUUCCUAAAAAAAAGCAUUGACAAAUGCUGUUCAUAACUGCUCUAUAAUUAAUAAACAAAUUUCUUUGCUUCAAGUUCUGUGACUUAUUCUAAAAUUUAAAAUCCUUUGCUUAAAAAUGGUCAGAUUCAAGCAGCAUGUGGACUGAAGGCUGAGGAAGGCAUGGCUGUGAUUACAGCAGCUGAAACUGUGCCCUAAUCACACUCUUAUCUUUCUUAUCUACUGCAAGUAUUUAUAAAGCAAUGAUUACUGUACUAGGCCACAUCACUGCUCUGAGUUUGUUCUGAACCAGCACCUUCGUGUUGCUGUAAGAAGUUCACACUGCUAGAGCUGGUGUCAUUUUGCUGAGACAGAAAGCCAAGCUUCUCAUCACUUAAAGUCAUUAAAAAAAAAUAAACUAUGACACCUCUAAAGGAGUAGGGGUGUUAACCCCAAUGUCCUGGCCAAACUCCCAGCUUGAGUAAUUACAGCGUGCCUUGAAUAAAUUCUUGCCACAGUUUCCUUUGGACACAGUAUUGUUCUCUACUUCCUCUCCUACAAUAUUAUGGAGUGCUGAUGCAUGCUCUUAAAGGUCCUGUCCGUGCUGGAAUGUCCUACAGGUCUACCCCAGGACCAGCUCUGCAGCAGCACAUUGGGAACAAUGUGUUGAAACCAGUUCUGCCUGUCAGCUGAACCGCUAGGCAAUUUGUA
Long non-coding RNA from Lepidothrix coronata (blue-crowned manakin), 3252 nucleotides. RefSeq lists it as uncharacterized. The record is from RefSeq and is a predicted model, not a curated record. The transcript has 3 exons. NCBI's taxonomy places the organism in Eukaryota, Metazoa, Chordata, Aves, Passeriformes, Pipridae.